GUGGGCGUAGCUCAGUAGGUUAGAGCACCUGGUUGUGGCCCAGGAGGCCGUGGGUUCGAGUCCCAUCGCCCACCCCA
RNAcentral lists this transfer RNA (77 nucleotides) under Desulfoprunum sp. RNAcentral describes it as "tRNA-His". It matches the Rfam family "tRNA". Rfam says of the family: Transfer RNA (tRNA) molecules are approximately 80 nucleotides in length. Their secondary structure includes four short double-helical elements and three loops (D, anti-codon, and T loops). The record is from RNAcentral. Lineage: Bacteria; Pseudomonadati; Thermodesulfobacteriota; Desulfobulbia; Desulfobulbales; Desulfobulbaceae.